RNAcentral lists this ribosomal RNA (465 nucleotides) under Vreelandella stevensii. RNAcentral's name for it is "partial 16S ribosomal RNA". It matches the Rfam family "Bacterial small subunit ribosomal RNA", at positions 338 to 795 of the family's 1533-position model. The record is from RNAcentral. Lineage: Bacteria; Pseudomonadati; Pseudomonadota; Gammaproteobacteria; Oceanospirillales; Halomonadaceae.
CCUACGGGAGGCAGCAGUGGGGAAUAUUGGACAAUGGGGGGAACCCUGAUCCAGCCAUGCCGCGUGUGUGAAGAAGGCCCUCGGGUUGUAAAGCACUUUCAGUGAGGAAGAACGCCUGGUGGUUAAUACCCAUCAGGAAAGACAUCACUCACAGAAGAAGCACCGGCUAACUCCGUGCCAGCAGCCGCGGUAAUACGGAGGGUGCGAGCGUUAAUCGGAAUUACUGGGCGUAAAGCGCGCGUAGGUGGCUUGAUAAGCCGGUUGUGAAAGCCCCGGGCUCAACCUGGGAACGGCAUCCGGAACUGUCAAGCUAGAGUGCAGGAGAGGAAGGUAGAAUUCCCGGUGUAGCGGUGAAAUGCGUAGAGAUCGGGAGGAAUACCAGUGGCGAAGGCGGCCUUCUGGACUGACACUGACACUGAGGUGCGAAAGCGUGGGUAGCAAACAGGACUAGAUACCCCAGUAGUC